CCUACGGGAGGCUGCAGUGGGGAAUAUUGGACAAUGGGGGGAACCCUGAUCCAGCUAUGCCGCGUGUGUGAAGAAGGCCCUCGGGUUGUAAAGCACUUUCAGUGAGGAAGAACGCCUGGUGGUUAAUACCCAUCAGGAAAGACAUCACUCACAGAAGAAGCACCGGCUAACUCCGGGCCAGCAGCCGCGGUAAUACGGAGGGUGCGAGCGUUAAUCGGAAUUACUGGGCGUAAAGCGCGCGUAGGUGGCUUGAUAAGCCGGUUGUGAAAGCCCCGGGCUCAACCUGGGAACGGCAUCCGGAACUGUCAAGCUAGAGUGCAGGAGAGGAAGGUAGAAUUCCCGGUGUAGCGGUGAAAUCCGUAGAGAUCGGGAGGAAUACCAGUGGCGAAGGCGGCCUUCUGGACUGACACUGACACUGAGGUGCGAAAGCGUGGGUAGCAAACAGGAUUAGAUACCCCAGUAGUC
This 465-nucleotide ribosomal RNA is filed under the name Vreelandella stevensii. RNAcentral describes it as "partial 16S ribosomal RNA". It matches the Rfam family "Bacterial small subunit ribosomal RNA", at positions 338 to 795 of the family's 1533-position model. The record is from RNAcentral. Lineage: Bacteria; Pseudomonadati; Pseudomonadota; Gammaproteobacteria; Oceanospirillales; Halomonadaceae.